UCUCAAGCUGUGACCCUCUAGAGGGAUGCACGUUCUGUAUUCUAAAGAAAAGAACUCGCAGCCCUCUAGAGCGUUACCGUUUGAGA
This is a non-coding RNA of Callithrix jacchus (white-tufted-ear marmoset), 86 nucleotides long. The record is from Rfam. NCBI's taxonomy places the organism in Eukaryota, Metazoa, Chordata, Mammalia, Primates, Cebidae.